RNAcentral lists this ribosomal RNA (3025 nucleotides) under Salmonella enterica. RNAcentral's name for it is "bacterial LSU rRNA". It matches the Rfam family "Bacterial large subunit ribosomal RNA". Lineage: Bacteria; Pseudomonadati; Pseudomonadota; Gammaproteobacteria; Enterobacterales; Enterobacteriaceae. RNAcentral also lists the same sequence under 1 other name. The record is from RNAcentral.
GGGUUGUGAGGUUAAGCGACUAAGCGUACACGGUGGAUGCCCUGGCAGUCAGAGGCGAUGAAGGGCGUGCUAAUCUGCGAUAAGCGCCGGUAAGGUGAUAUGAACCGUUAUAACCGGCGAUACCCGAAUGGGGAAACCCAGUGUGAUUCGUCACACUAUCAUUAACUGAAUCCAUAGGUUAAUGAGGCGAACCGGGGGAACUGAAACAUCUAAGUACCCCGAGGAAAAGAAAUCAACCGAGAUUCCCCCAGUAGCGGCGAGCGAACGGGGAGGAGCCCAGAGCCUGAAUCAGCAUGUGUGUUAGUGGAAGCGUCUGGAAAGGCGCGCGAUACAGGGUGACAGCCCCGUACACAAAAGCGCAUGUGCUGUGAGCUCGAUGAGUAGGGCGGGACACGUGGUAUCCUGUCUGAAUAUGGGGGGACCAUCCUCCAAGGCUAAAUACUCCUGACUGACCGAUAGUGAACCAGUACCGUGAGGGAAAGGCGAAAAGAACCCCGGCGAGGGGAGUGAAAAAGAACCUGAAACCGUGUACGUACAAGCAGUGGGAGCCCCACCACUAAGCCAGUGGUGAACUCCACAUACGCAUCCUUUGCUGAGGAUACGGUUAACGGAGCGAAAGCGACGUUCAACCGCAAAAGAAGCAGAGGGGGCUUAGUGGUGGGGUGACUGCGUACCUUUUGUAUAAUGGGUCAGCGACUUAUAUUCUGUAGCAAGGUUAACCGUAUAGGGGAGCCGGAGGGAAACCGAGUCUUAAUUGGGCGUUAAGUUGCAGGGUAUAGACCCGAAACCCGGUGAUCUAGCCAUGGGCAGGUUGAAGGUUGGGUAACACUAACUGGAGGACCGAACCGACUAAUGUUGAAAAAUUAGCGGAUGACCUGUGGCUGGGGGUGAAAGGCCAAUCAAACCGGGAGAUAGCUGGUUCUCCCCGAAAGCUAUUUAGGUAGCGCCUCGUGAACUCAUCUCCGGGGGUAGAGCACUGUUUCGGCUAGGGGGCCAUCCCGGCUUACCAACCCGAUGCAAACUGCGAAUACCGGAGAAUGUUAUCACGGGAGACACACGGCGGGUGCUAACGUCCGUCGUGAAGAGGGAAACAACCCAGACCGCCAGCUAAGGUCCCAAAGUCAUGGUUAAGUGGGAAACGAUGUGGGAAGGCCCAGACAGCCAGGAUGUUGGCUUAGAAGCAGCCAUCAUUUAAAGAAAGCGUAAUAGCUCACUGGUCGAGUCGGCCUGCGCGGAAGAUGUAACGGGGCUAAACCAUGCACCGAAGCUGCGGCAGCGACACUGUGUGUUGUUGGGUAGGGGAGCGUUCUGUAAGCCUGUGAAGGUGUGUCGUGAGGCAUGCUGGAGGUAUCAGAAGUGCGAAUGCUGACAUAAGUAACGAUAAAGCGGGUGAAAAGCCCGCUCGCCGGAAGACCAAGGGUUCCUGUCCAACGUUAAUCGGGGCAGGGUGAGUCGACCCCUAAGGCGAGGCCGAAAGGCGUAGUCGAUGGGAAACGGGUUAAUAUUCCCGUACUUGGUGUUACUGCGAAGGGGGGACGGAGAAGGCUAUGUUGGCCGGGCGACGGUUGUCCCGGUUUAAGCGUGUAGGCUGGUUUUCCAGGCAAAUCCGGAAAAUCAAGGCUGAGGCGUGAUGACGAGGCACUACGGUGCUGAAGCAACAAAUGCCCUGCUUCCAGGAAAAGCCUCUAAGCAUCAGGUAACAUCAAAUCGUACCCCAAACCGACACAGGUGGUCAGGUAGAGAAUACCAAGGCGCUUGAGAGAACUCGGGUGAAGGAACUAGGCAAAAUGGUGCCGUAACUUCGGGAGAAGGCACGCUGACACGUAGGUGAAGUGAUUUACUCACGGAGCUGAAGUCAGUCGAAGAUACCAGCUGGCUGCAACUGUUUAUUAAAAACACAGCACUGUGCAAACACGAAAGUGGACGUAUACGGUGUGACGCCUGCCCGGUGCCGGAAGGUUAAUUGAUGGGGUCAGCGCAAGCGAAGCUCCUGAUCGAAGCCCCGGUAAACGGCGGCCGUAACUAUAACGGUCCUAAGGUAGCGAAAUUCCUUGUCGGGUAAGUUCCGACCUGCACGAAUGGCGUAAUGAUGGCCAGGCUGUCUCCACCCGAGACUCAGUGAAAUUGAACUCGCUGUGAAGAUGCAGUGUACCCGCGGCAAGACGGAAAGACCCCGUGAACCUUUACUAUAGCUUGACACUGAACAUUGAGCCUUGAUGUGUAGGAUAGGUGGGAGGCUUUGAAGUGUGGACGCCAGUCUGCAUGGAGCCGACCUUGAAAUACCACCCUUUAAUGUUUGAUGUUCUAACGUGGACCCGUUACCCGGGUUGCGGACAGUGUCUGGUGGGUAGUUUGACUGGGGCGGUCUCCUCCUAAAGAGUAACGGAGGAGCACGAAGGUUGGCUAAUCCUGGUCGGACAUCAGGAGGUUAGUGCAAUGGCAUAAGCCAGCUUGACUGCGAGCGUGACGGCGCGAGCAGGUGCGAAAGCAGGUCAUAGUGAUCCGGUGGUUCUGAAUGGAAGGGCCAUCGCUCAACGGAUAAAAGGUACUCCGGGGAUAACAGGCUGAUACCGCCCAAGAGUUCAUAUCGACGGCGGUGUUUGGCACCUCGAUGUCGGCUCAUCACAUCCUGGGGCUGAAGUAGGUCCCAAGGGUAUGGCUGUUCGCCAUUUAAAGUGGUACGCGAGCUGGGUUUAGAACGUCGUGAGACAGUUCGGUCCCUAUCUGCCGUGGGCGCUGGAGAACUGAGGGGGGCUGCUCCUAGUACGAGAGGACCGGAGUGGACGCAUCACUGGUGUUCGGGUUGUCAUGCCAAUGGCACUGCCCGGUAGCUAAAUGCGGAAGAGAUAAGUGCUGAAAGCAUCUAAGCACGAAACUUGCCCCGAGAUGAGUUCUCCCUGAGACUUAGAGUCUCCUGAAGGAACGUUGAAGACGACGACGUUGAUAGGCCGGGUGUGUAAGCGCAGCGAUGCGUUGAGCUAACCGGUACUAAUGAACCGUGAGGCUUAACCUUACAACGCCGAAG